Molecule: ribosomal RNA, 213 nt
Filed under: Triticum aestivum (bread wheat)
Lineage: Eukaryota; Viridiplantae; Streptophyta; Magnoliopsida; Poales; Poaceae
Description: partial small subunit ribosomal RNA
Source: RNAcentral
AUGGCGCGGCAGCGGGGGCGCGUGGUGCUGCGGCGGAUCGAGGAUCGGAGGCGGCGGGGGAUCUGCUUUAGGAAGCGGCGGGCGGGGCUGGUUAAGAAGGCGGAGGAGCUCGCCAUGCUCUGCGACGCCGACGUCGGCCUCCUCGUCAUCAGCCCCUUCGACGGCACCUUCCAACGCUUCGCCGCGCCCGCGACUCGAUUACAAUCCAAUUAG